AGCUCUUCUAGCGUAUAUCGAAGUUGAUGCAGUUAAAAAGCUCGUAGUCGGAGUUGUUCAAGUGUAGGAGAUAAUACUGAGUCAGUUGAAAGAUUGGCUUGGAACUACCUUGAUUCAUUGGAUCGUGAAAGUGCAUGGGUUCGCCUGUGAUUACUUCCCUUCCACAUUUACUUUGAGGAAAUUAGAGUGUUCAUAGCAGUCGUUUCGACUGAAUAGUUUAGCAUGGGAUAAUAGAAUAUGGCAAGCUGCUGUUUCUAUGGUUCUUAAUAGCAUUAUUUGCAAUGAUCAAUGGGAGUGGAUGGGGCUGCCUGUAUUACGGAGCUAGAGGUGAAAUUCUAUGAUUUCCGUAGGACAAACAAAUGCGAAAGCAUCCAGCCAGUACAUGUCCG
Molecule: ribosomal RNA, 389 nt
Filed under: uncultured eukaryote
Lineage: Eukaryota
Description: SSU rRNA
Rfam family: Eukaryotic small subunit ribosomal RNA
Source: RNAcentral